GCAAAGUGAAACAGGAAACUUUGCUGCCCUAAACGGAGUAUACACAGUAUGUGUCCGGGCCUUAAAAGGUGAAGAAUAUUUAGACAGAUGAAGAGCAUUCCAGGUGGAAAGAACCAUAUAAGCAGACACUGGAAAGCAGGGUUUCUUCAAACACCUUUGGUGAGGGCAAGGGAGGGAUGGUGCAAGUCUGGAUAUGUGAGUCUGGGUGACCAUGGGAAGAACUGCAAAGACCACAGAGCUGGAAUAUGUGAUGCCUCCAAGCCUUCUAGCCUUGGCCAAAACAAUGUCCUCCAUGAGGCAGGUCUGGGGCCCUCAAGGAGCAAUGGCCCUCAGUGUAUGGUUCUCAAACCAGCACCAUUGGUGUCACGUGUGAGAUUACUGAACAUGAAAAUCCAGGGUGCACUAAAUCAGAAACACUGGGGAAGAGGUCCAGGAAAUGGGUCUUAACAACUCUCCAACCGAUUCUUACGCAGGCCAACCACUGAUAUAGAUGACUCCAGCUCUCCGAGUGGGUCUUUUUAAAUGUUAGGUCCUGGGGCCAGGAAGAAACAGAAUAUCACUCUUCCUUGGUGCUAUGGAAGGAAUUAGAGGGAUUUUAGGGGUGUAGGGGAAGGCAACAGUGCUCUGGGGACUACUUUAUGCCCAGUGAGAAAUUGGUUCUAAUCAUUCUGCAUCUAUGAAGUCCAUAAAGGACCAAGUUCAAGCCUCCGCAGUCAGGAGCCACUUCACUUUGUACCCCAGGUGACAGCCCAGCACUUGUUCUAGGGCUGGGUCGGGUGGGGAGGGAGAUGUCUUCAGAAACUCAAGAAGGAAAGGGAGCUUUCUCCUGGAGAGUGUCCACCGCGUCGGGCGCCC
Long non-coding RNA from Homo sapiens (human), 855 nucleotides. Lineage: Eukaryota; Metazoa; Chordata; Mammalia; Primates; Hominidae. The record is from Ensembl.